RNAcentral lists this long non-coding RNA (278 nucleotides) under Numida meleagris (helmeted guineafowl). RNAcentral's name for it is "lncRNA (ENSNMEG00000020021.1)". The record is from RNAcentral. Lineage: Eukaryota; Metazoa; Chordata; Aves; Galliformes; Numididae.
CCCAGCUCUUACUGAGGAAAAUGGAAUUGUCAGAGAAGGUUACCCUGGCAACAGGGUCACCUGGCAGGGCCUGCGGCAUGAGGAGCCAGGCUGGGGCAGUGGGUGGCGUGAGCGCUGUGAUGAUGAGGAAGGAGCAGGAGGUCAGUGAGUCCCUCAAGCUUCUCUGUGGCUUCCGUCAGCUCAAGGGUUAUAUGAUAUUACUGAUGAGAUUUAUCAGAUUAUUACUUGCCUUGGAAAGAAGAGGAAGAUUGCUGUGUGGAGUGAUGCUGCAAGGGUAG